Molecule: non-coding RNA, 1470 nt
Organism: Electrophorus electricus (electric eel)
Lineage: Eukaryota; Metazoa; Chordata; Actinopteri; Gymnotiformes; Gymnotidae
Source: RefSeq, a predicted model, not a curated record
UUUUUUGUUUUUUUUUUUUACUUCAGUCAGAAUGCAUGGCAGCUUUUCAGCCUAGUUUACCCCACACGUACACACAUUUACACACUCACACACAGGACGUCCUCAAUCACGGUGACAUGUCUCACAAGUUCUUUAUCCUCGUACUAAGCCUUUCAUUUGAACUUCAGGAUGUGUGCAGUGAACUCUGUGUGAAUACACAUCAGCAGUACAGUGUGGAUAAUAUUUUCUGGCCCAAUAUCACAUGUCAGCAUGAUGGAAAGACAGAAUGGAAAGUUCAGGCCAGGCUGAUUGAGAAGAGAAUCAUUUGUGAUAUGCGCAGCAGACAAACAUGUGAUUUGUCUCAAGAUGGGAACCAGUUCAAAUUUACAUUGAAGAAUACAACUUCCACACCAAAAUCCUCAGUGUAUAUAUGUGAGGUUUACAGAAGCAGCCCGGCUCCAGUCAUUAUUAGAGAGAGCGAAGAAUUAACGUUGAAUUCAGGUAGGGUGCCAUGUUCCUGAUACACAGGCGACGGACCCUGGAAAUGCUUGCCUCUCUCAUGGCUUUUUCAGCCUUCCUGUCCGGGUCACCUGGGCUCUGAUUGGACUAGCGAUUUUGUUGUGUCUCUAUAGUCUGACAGUUACCAUUCUCUAUGUCAGACUAAGGAUCAAAAUGUCUGAAGAUCUGUAUGACACACUGACAUAUGUUCCAAUGCAGAGGAAUGUGAGAUGCCAAGUUCCAGACAAGAAUGCCGAGUACAUGGACAUGCGUGUGGUGCAACUUCAGCCGGGCUCCAGCCGUGACACGAGCCAUAACUCACAUCACCACAGUCCUGUCGGAUUUACCAAGUGAUUCAUUUGCACAUGUUUAUGGUUUCUGAUUUGCUAUCCUUUUUUCCCAAAUCAAAUCCAUUUUGGGCAUCAUCAUGCCUAAUGUGCCGGACAUCAUGUCAGACAACCAGAUGGACACAUGUUGGACAUUUUGUAUUUUCCUGUAUUUUUACAAAUCUAAAAAAUACUCUUUAUUAUUUAGCUGCAAUAACGUGUUCUGUUCUUAUGAUGUGAUAUGGUAAAACAAUAUCACUUCACUGUAAUGUGAUAAAGUUCUGUGAUUCAAUGCGUAACAUUCUGUGAUGGAAACAAUGGCCGCAAUUGUCUGCACUAAUGUUGGCUAACUAGCAUAUCCAGACCUUGUACACACAGAGACAAGCCUUAUGAUAGCUGAACUAACAACAAUGUGCAGUAAAAUCUAGGAAAAGUAGUAUUGUGGUGAUAGACAAUAUUUAAUUAAUUCAGGCUGAAAAAAGCCAAAAUGUUUAAUUAUGUUUCUCCUACAUAUUUCAUGUAACCAUUUCUUUGUGUUGAUUGUUUUAGUAAAUGUAUGCUAUUUAAUGUGUCUUAAAUUGUCUAAAAUGUUUCCUCUUUAUACACCUAUACCUAUAUACAUCUAUGCCAAAGGGCAUAUGUCAGCAUUCCUGUAAAUCAUCAUAUA